GCCUCGACGCCGCCUGCUCGCUUCGGCGCGGCGGCGCCCCACCUCCCCUCCUCCGACACGACGGCGCGGCGCCCUUCUGCGGUCGACGCCUCCGUCCUCCACCCUCCCUCUCCUCCAUCUUCCCGCCAUCCUCAACUACAAGACGACACUGCGGUGGCGAUCGCAUCGAUCCCUCUACCUCAUCACGACCCGGCGGGGGCGACCGAGCGGCGGCGGCGGCAGCGGCGACGGCGGCCGGAUCAUGGGACUAGGAAGGGAGGUGUGGGGGGUGGUUCCGCCCCGGCGACCGAGGUCGAAGCGGCGCUGUUCUGAGCAGGUGACCCAAGAACGUCAUUAACUGCGCAAAUAAUUAGGUUCAUGGAUGAUACCUCUGUGGACGCAAGUAGUUCAAGGACAAUGGACAUAUAAGCUCUGGGACUGGGAGUUGGAGCCAUUGUCUAAGUGAUGCUUUUAGAAGAUCUACUCAAGCAGAUAUAUGGCUAUCACGUCACGUGCAGAGAUUCUUCCAAAUGUGCUAAUGAAUUAGCAUUUCACUUCAUAGAAGCACUGACAAAGAAUCUUCAACUCUUCCACAAGAUAGACUGGUACAACAUGGAUGUAUUUACUUUCAAGAAGUGCAAAUUACUGAAUGUUAACAGUUCAUAUCUAGUAUAUAAUGCAUGCUUUGACAUAACAGGGAUAAUAUGGUGACAUGAUAAAAUUGAUUAAUUUCAAGCUGAUGCUUUUCCAGUGUGCUUUCAUGGAUCAUGCUCUACUUCAAAUAAUGGAACGCUUUGCUCAAGCCAGUCCAAAUAAGCAAAACCCUUCUUCGUUGUUUCACUUGUACAUAUAGCUCUUUGCUAUCUUGCAAAAGGAUUUCUAGAUCCUGAUAUUAAAUCUACAUGGCAGUCCAAUUCAUGAUUUGCAUAUUCCAAUUCAUGCCAUGAAUAUGGUUCUUGUAUCAAUCUUGUAGUGCGGUGUAUUUGCAACUUUCAAGAAGUCUUAUCCUCCUUAAACAUGUCCUGGGUACUUUUUGACAGCCUAAACUCUAUUUGCUGGGUUAUUCUAGAUAAGUAUUUGUUUUUUUUGGUACUUUCUAGGUUCCAUAGUUCCACCCAUGCAACAAAUUGAAUGCUAUAGCUGUCAUUGUGGGGCUGUGGGCACCUAAACUUAAUUUCUGAUUUACUGUCAUCCCAUGACCCCUCUAUCAACCUCCAGAAUAUGUUACUGUGGCCUUUGCUACUUAAGUGCAUUUUAUAAUUUCUAAAUUGAAUGUCUCAGGAAAAUGUCUGGAACAUGCCAGGUGUUAUGGUUUUCAUUGUGCAACACAUAAUUGGUUUAAUAGUUUCUAAAUAUGAUUGUGCACUUAACCAUCUGUUGAUUCAACUUGCCAGCAUAAAUAGUUCCAACUGAAACGCAGUUUAUGCUCAAAACGAAUGACCAAACAUGGGGUGAAUUCUUUUGUCGAACUAUCCUAUCUUGGUCUACAGGCUGUUUAUAACUCAAACCGGUGCGCUAAACUUGUGAAGUAAAACUGCUUGGACUACUAACAGCUAAAGUUUCAAAGGCAUCCUGCAAAAGGACCUAUUGGUCUGAACUUUGAAGGUAUUUGGAUGUUACAAGCAUGUCCACAUUUUCGGUGCUGCAAACAACCAGACAGGGUCCCUGUGGUUGCUGGUGUUGUACAGAAUUGCUGAACACAUCAUUUACUUUGCUGGCUGUCAAUCUGUCAUGUAUUUGGAUAUACACCCGUAUAUCUAGAUAAAGUUAGAAAUUACUUGGAAGAAAGCACUAACUUAGUACUCGUAUAUGCCAUUUGUGACAGCCUUUUUUUUCUUUCACGGGAAACGGGGACUUUGUAUUUUUAUUAUUAUACUCCUGUUCUGUACCGUGUACAGUGCAUUGUAUAAGAGGACUUUUAAAUACAGCCGAUUCGGCUGUGCUGUGCUCCUUAAAUAAUUCAUUAAUUAAUUCAUUGUUGUAUUCGCUGGUACUACUAGCUGCCAUCUUUUGAAUUGGCAUCUUGUACACUGCUAGUACUCCACUACUAUUGCCUGUUGCUUGUAACCAUUGCCUACCACACAUACAUCUUCUUUACAUCUGUGUCUUCUUCAACAACCAGACCUCCAUUACUCCACAAAGCUGCUUUCUCCCCCUCCUUCCCUAGGUAUCCUCAAUGGAAGCUGCUUCCUAGAUCCAGCCCCAAUCCACCCUUCCUUCCAAGUCCCCAUAUCCACAAAUCAACACACCAUGUCUUCUUGUUCUUCCUCCUCUCCCCAGAAAGCCAUAGAUGCUAGUUAUCAACUAUCAACUCCAUGGAUCUUGUUCUUCCCAGCUUCAAAGCCCCUCCAACACCAAAGUUCAGAUCUGUCCUCCUUCCCUUCACCUAGCUCUAUAUUAGAAGCUUGUGAGGGCUAAGAUGGCCAUGGAGGACAAUGAAUCAGGGGCAAGAUGAACUCUAAGAUGGCUGGCCAUGGAUGAAGAUUGAAGCUGCUAUUGGUCUAUGAAUCAAGGUAAAGAGAAUCCCUUCAUCUUAAGUAGAGAUAUGCACCAUGUUGCUGGCUUUAGUUUCAAAAGAAGUUCACCGAGGGAGGUCCGUUUAUGCUUGUCCAUCUUCUGCUUUGGAUUGGAAGCGAGAACGGCGAAUUACAAAAGAAUUUGCAGCAAAAAUCUCUCGAUAUCUUUGCCUGCGCCGCAGCCACCGAAAUCUCUUCCUUGCCGGGCCGGCCCAGCUGAGCUCGAUCCGCCCCCCCCCCCCCCCCCCACAAUAUCUUCCAGAGACAUCCAUUCCCCGGCUCGAUGAGAUUCUACGUCGCAUACAUAAACCACAGUCUAAACCCUAAGUGAACCCCUCGUCCCAUUCGACUCGCCACGCCCCCGCCUCCGCCGCCGCCUCCGCCUCGUCUUCCUCCGCGUCGGCGAUGGCGAGGAGAGGGGAUGAUGAACUGGAUCAGACGUAUCAUCUUCUGUAUCGCCCGCGCGCGAUCUGGGGCCGCCGUCCCCGCCCCAACGGUGGCCGACGCCGCCCUCGCCCCAUCCAAGGGUUGUUCCGCGUGAGCCAUCCGGCGGUGAACCCUACAGCCGAGCCCAUCAGGCGGCAGUUCCUGGAGCAGCUGGAUUACCCUUUACCAACUAUCACUGGUUCUGCUCUGUUGGAUGAGACAAACCUGAUUCUUCAUGAUUUUUACAAGAAUAUAUCUGACAUCAGGUCUCAGAUCUACAACCAGCAAGGUCUGUGACUUGCAAAGAUGAAUGUUGUCAAGGAACAAGCUCUAUGGGAAGAAGCUGAAGAGCUCGUAUGCAUUUCCAAGAAGAUCUUCGAUUCCACUAAUCUUGAUAAGAAGCUGCUUUACCCCUUCCCUAGUUGGUUUAACUCAAGGGAGACUAGGAAGAAGAAUUAUCUAGAUCUUACAUCUUGGGUUAGUUUGCUUGAGACGUAUGCUAAUGAGAGGAGUGCUAGCCCUGAAGCUGAUGGUGAGGCAUAUGAUGUGGGUCUUCUUGAUGACAAGACUGGAGACGCCAGUGCUGAUCUUGACUAUGAAAAGAGUGCCUGCUCUGGAGAGACAAGUGAUGCUGCCUUUGAUGAAGAGAGUGCUAGCCCUGGAGACGCUACCAAAGAGGCUGAUAUUGAUGAACCGAUUGCUAUCCUGGGGACGCCAAUGGUGGCAAGAUCUGUAGAGUGGAGGCCUAUGGCUUGAGUUCUUCAGUGAAGGAAAAGUACUUGGAUAAAUGCUUCCUAACGUUGUCAUAUAUUCCUGAUAUUGUCAUGUGUCAUCUAGGUAUCAUCUAGGAAAGUACUUGGAUAAAUGCUUCCUAACGUUGUCAUAUAUUCCUGAUAUUGUCAUGUCUCAUCUAGGAGAAGUUCAGAAGCCCCUGAGGCAAUCUAACAUCGGCUACUUAUGCCGUGAUAAAAGACUUUGCAUGGAAGUAUUAUCUAUUUCAGAAUCUUGUAUGCAAUCAAACAACUACUACUUAUUAUGGUCUUAUGGAUACCUUGCUUGCUUAUCUUAUCUACAGCUACGGUCAUUGUUUCGUUAUCCAAAAAUGUUUACAGCUGAAGCCGCUUGAAUGGCCAUGCUGCUACUGCGCUGUGAACGUGGCGUGGCACAUGUUUUGUAAAACAUGACCAUAUGGAGUGGGCUAUCCAGGUUUGCAAAACCACCGGUAACCGUGCUCUUACCGCGGGGUACUGUGGUAACCUUCUUAAAUUCAAAUAAAUUUAAAAAGUAAUUUGAAAUUUUGAUAAAUUUUACAUAGUUUUGUACGUUUUGCCGCAGCUACCGUGUAGUAACCGUGGGAAACCCUGGUGCUGCCCCCGCUGCACCGUACAUUCCCGUUCGUCCUCACCGUCGCAAUUUCUUCUUCGCAGCCUCAGCCACCUCGGUUUGGUGAGCGCGGCCGUCUGUUAAUAGCCCCCCGCAGGAAGGACAUCGUGUUAGUGCACUCUUCAUUCAGGAUUGGGGAAAUAAGGUAGAAAGAUGAAUGUGCAAUUCUGGCACUUUGGGGAUCUGUCACAGGACUAAAAUUGAAUCCAAAUUAAGUAGGGUGUUAAUCGUAUUGGACUUGGCGUCCGGAAGAUGUUUGGCUGUGUUCUUUGGACAAUUUUCGUAACAUCACUUUCUCGAUUUUCUAUGCACGUUUUUGCAAACUGUUAAACGUUGUGUUUUUUUUAAAAAAUAUUUCUAUAGAAAAGUUGCUUUAAAAAAUAUAUUAUCUAUUUUUUAUUUUUAUAAUACUUAAUUAAUCAUACGCUAAUAAGGUAUUUUGCUUUUCACGUGGAAGGAAUGAGUUCCCAACAUAAGGAAUUAGGUAUUGUUGUUGGUGGUGAACUCUGGUAGUUGAUAAUGGUAUUUAGACUGGACUGCUUUCGUUAGUUGAAAAAAAAUGCAGAAAAGCAUUCCCUUGGUUUAGCAGCCCCAUCUUCUCGAUUAUACUUAUACUCUCUCCGUCCAAAAAAAAAAACUCAAUUUAGAAGGGGAUAACUAAUCAACCAAAAUUUGAAUUUUCAAUCUAGAAUUUGGAGUUGAUUUUGACGUUUUUGUUUGUAGUUUAUUUCUCAGCAUUUGCUUUUAUAUCGCUAAGAACACGUAUUUUAUUUAUAAAUUAUUUUCGUUUGUAAAUAUGCCGUUUGGCUUAUUCGGGUUUCUUCUGUACUUUGUUAAAUCCUUUAGUACUUCGAUGGUCCAGGAGUGUAUGGUUCUUUUAGCUUCUAGAAAGUUUUAGUACUGCAUGAAGUGUUUCAAGGUGUCAGAUUUCUGUUACUAUAUUCCAACAGCUAACAAUCGUGUUAACCUUCCACAAUGAGGAUGGAGAAUUUAUAAAUCCAUGAUAUAAGUUAAGUUUUUUUAGUGUACUUAUUUUCAAAUUUUAAUGCUUGAGAAAAUUCACCUUUUGUCGUUGAAAUGAUUUAUGAGUUACUUCCUCCGUUUUAUAUUAUAAGUCGCUUUGAAUUUUUUCUUAAUCAAACUUAAAAAUGAUCAAAUUUGUAAAAAAAUAUAGCAACAUUUUUAACACAAAAUAAAUAUAUUAUUAAAAUAUAUUCAAUGUUACAUUUAAUUGAACUAAUUUAGUGUUAUAGAUGUGCUUUAAUCAUUCAAUGUGUAUAUAUAUAUAUAUAUAGCUUCAGUUAUAACUGUUGGAUGCACUUUCCAAGUUCAAGUAAAUUGUCAAUGAAAGGCUUAAAUGGAUGUAUAGAACUCAAUGCAUGUGAAAGGGCAUGGAAUAAUUUUCGCGUCUCAAAUGAAUAACAGACAAACGAUCAUCAAAUGCUCAUCAUCAUAACCAAGCAGCCCUCUAUACUGAAAUUUAAGUGAGGUGCAGUCAUUAUUUAUAAAGCCAACUGUAAGGUGCAUAUAGUAAUCUGUUCUUUUCCCACGUAAUGGGUGGUUUAUGUUUCUUGAUGUUCUCUGUAAAUUUUGCUGCUUUGGCUGUAAAUGUUCUUUGUCAUAAUUCACAUCAUGUAGUAAUCUGGGUCCAGUGGAUCCACUGUCUGUGGUUAGGCUUAGUCAAUCUCUUGGGGCCAAGAUCACUCAUACCCAUUUUACUUUGAAUGAAUUUGGUGGUUUUUGAGGCAGUUUGUCGGUGUAUUUGUAUUGUAAACUGAGUGGAAAUCAGCAGUGUUUCAUCU
Oryza sativa Japonica Group (Japanese rice) is the source of this 6106-nucleotide long non-coding RNA. RefSeq lists it as uncharacterized. The record is from RefSeq and is a predicted model, not a curated record. NCBI's taxonomy places the organism in Eukaryota, Viridiplantae, Streptophyta, Magnoliopsida, Poales, Poaceae.